UAUAAGCUUCUGAACAAUGAUGAGGAUGGUGGCAUUUGACAUUCGGUCAAGGGAUGGAGCAGGAAGGCUUGAGAUACACAACCCAUAUCUUUAAGGCACUUUCCAUCUGGUGGAGAAACGGAAAUGUAUGCACAUAGCGGCACAUGCGAUGGCAACAGAACCCGUGAGACCCUGGGGAAAGAACUGACUUUUCGAGGGCCUGCUGCAAGGGAGGGGCUAAGCCUGGCCUAGAACUUUAGUUACCUGAAAACUUGAUUUUUUUGUGUUAUUCUAACGUGCAGAGGGCCUGUGCCAGGCCUACCAAGGAGUGAGCUGAUGCGGCUGAGAGUUUUGGAAUGUGAGGCUGGGAUGACAAGCCUGGGGCCUGGCUCUUCUGUGCUCAGUGAGGACUGCUCCAGCCUCAGCCCCAACUCCCAGCAAAGCCCAGGUGUGGGGAGCAGGGGAGGUGAGACAGAGAUGAGGAGGGACAGAAAUGUGGUUUCACACCUGACCCAGCAAUUCCUGCAGCUGGGAAGCAUGGCGACUCAGAAUGCCGAUGCCUGCCCGAGGCUUCGGCUUCUUGUCCCGCGUUUUGGAGACCAUAUCUGGAGAGGCACAGUGUGAGGGGCAUGGGGAGGCAGGAGUAGGACUGCAGCAGAGAGGGGUUUUGCAACCAGCCUCUGGCUGGUCAGCACAGGAGUGUCAGGUUCUUUGCUGUGGGGCUGCUGGGGAUGAGAGAGGCAGGAAGAACCCCUGUGAAGAACAGUGAGAAGGGUAGGGGCCAGGGGCCUGCAGGGUGAUGGCAGGCUUUGAAGGGUGUGAAAGGCUGCCACAGCUGAGGCCCGGCUAUACCCAGGAGGGAGCAAGCAGCCUGAUGCCUGAGCUGGCCUGGCCCAUUCACCUCUUGUGGCC
Molecule: long non-coding RNA, 891 nt
Organism: Homo sapiens (human)
Lineage: Eukaryota; Metazoa; Chordata; Mammalia; Primates; Hominidae
Product: long intergenic non-protein coding RNA 2396
Source: Ensembl